GACGAACGCUGGCGGCGUGCUUAACACAUGCAAGUCGAACGGAAAGGCCCUGCUUUUGUGGGGUGCUCGAGUGGCGAACGGGUGAGUAACACGUGAGUAACCUGCCCUUGACUUUGGGAUAACUUCAGGAAACUGGGGCUAAUACCGGAUAGGAGCUCCUGCUGCAUGGUGGGGGUUGGAAAGUUUCGGCGGUUGGGGAUGGACUCGCGGCUUAUCAGCUUGUUGGUGGGGUAGUGGCUUACCAAGGCUUUGACGGGUAGCCGGCCUGAGAGGGUGACAGGCCACAUUGGGACUGAGAUACGGCCCAGACUCCUACGGGAGGCAGCAGUGGGGAAUAUUGCACAAUGGGCGGAAGCCUGAUGCAGCAACGCCGCGUGCUGGAUGACGGCCUUCGGGUUGUAAACCGCUUUCGCCUGUGACGAAGCGUGAGUGACGGUAAUGGGUAAAGAAGCACCGGCUAACUACGUG
RNAcentral lists this ribosomal RNA (468 nucleotides) under uncultured bacterium. RNAcentral describes it as "partial 16S ribosomal RNA". It matches the Rfam family "Bacterial small subunit ribosomal RNA", at positions 28 to 507 of the family's 1533-position model. The record is from RNAcentral.